UCGCCAUUGCCUCAGUAACGGCGAGUGAAGCGGCAACAGCUCAAAUUUGAAAUCUGGCCCCAGGCCCGAGUUGUAAUUUGCAGAGGAUGCUUUUGGUGCGGUGCCUUCCAAGUUCCCUAGAACGGGACGCCAGAGAGGGUGAGAGCCCCGUACAGUUGGACACCAAGCCUUUGUAAAGCUCCUUCGACGAGUCGAGUAGUUUGGGAAUGCUGCUCAAAAUGGGAGGUAUAUUUCUUCUAAAGCUAAAUACCGGCCAGAGACCGAUAGCGCACAAGUAGAGUGAUCGAAAGAUGAAAAGCACUUUGAAAAGAGGGUUAAACAGCACGUGAAAUUGUUAAAAGGGAAGCGCUUGUGACCAGACUUGCGUCCGGUGAAUCACCCAGCUCUCGCGGCUGGGGCACUUCGCCGGCUCAGGCCAGCAUCAGCUCGCUGUCGGGGACAAAAGCUUCAGGAACGUAGCUCUCUUCGGGGAGUGUUAUAGCCUGUUGCACAAUACCCUUCGGCGGGCUGAGGUACGCGCUCCGCAAGGAUGCUGGCAUAAUGGUCAUCAGCGACCCGUCUUGAAA
Molecule: ribosomal RNA, 566 nt
Filed under: Colletotrichum gloeosporioides
Lineage: Eukaryota; Fungi; Ascomycota; Sordariomycetes; Glomerellales; Glomerellaceae
Description: eukaryotic LSU rRNA
Rfam family: Eukaryotic large subunit ribosomal RNA
Source: RNAcentral